CGAACGCUGGCGGCGUGCUUAACACAUGCAAGUCGAACGAUGAAGCCCUUCGGGGUGGAUUAGUGGCGAACGGGUGAGUAACACGUGGGCAAUCUGCCCUUCACUCUGGGACAAGCCCUGGAAACGGGGUCUAAUACCGGAUAACACCGGCUUCCGCAUGGAAGCUGGUUAAAAGCUCCGGCGGUGAAGGAUGAGCCCGCGGCCUAUCAGCUUGUUGGUGGGGUAAUGGCCUACCAAGGCGACGACGGGUAGCCGGCCUGAGAGGGCGACCGGCCACACUGGGACUGAGACACGGCCCAGACUCCUACGGGAGGCAGCAGUGGGGAAUAUUGCACAAUGGGCGAAAGCCUGAUGCAGCGACGCCGCGUGAGGGAUGACGGCCUUCGGGUUGUAAACCUCUCUUAGCAGGGAA
This 412-nucleotide ribosomal RNA is filed under the name Streptomyces sp. 026-1.2-LH-A-10. RNAcentral's name for it is "bacterial SSU rRNA". It matches the Rfam family "Bacterial small subunit ribosomal RNA", at positions 30 to 446 of the family's 1533-position model. The record is from RNAcentral. Lineage: Bacteria; Bacillati; Actinomycetota; Actinomycetes; Kitasatosporales; Streptomycetaceae.